This 69-nucleotide transfer RNA is filed under the name Marmota monax (woodchuck). RNAcentral describes it as "tRNA.Val". The stretch from base 4 to 62 matches the Rfam family "tRNA", at positions 7 to 64 of the family's 71-position model. From Rfam's summary of the family: Transfer RNA (tRNA) molecules are approximately 80 nucleotides in length. Their secondary structure includes four short double-helical elements and three loops (D, anti-codon, and T loops). Further hydrogen bonds mediate the characteristic L-shaped molecular structure. tRNAs have two regions of fundamental functional importance: the anti-codon, which is responsible for specific mRNA codon recognition, and the 3' end, to which the tRNAs corresponding amino acid is attached (by aminoacyl-tRNA synthetases). tRNAs cope with the degeneracy of the genetic code in two manners: having more than one tRNA (with a specific anti-codon) for a particular amino acid; and 'wobble' base-pairing, i.e. permitting non-standard base-pairing at the 3rd anti-codon position. The record is from RNAcentral. Lineage: Eukaryota; Metazoa; Chordata; Mammalia; Rodentia; Sciuridae.
GAUGUAGCUCAGAGGUAGAGUGCUUGCCUAACAUGUAUGAAGCCCUGGGUUCAAUCCCCAACCCAACCA